RNAcentral lists this non-coding RNA (433 nucleotides) under Pongo abelii (Sumatran orangutan). Lineage: Eukaryota; Metazoa; Chordata; Mammalia; Primates; Hominidae. The record is from RNAcentral.
GAAGGGAUGAGGAGCUUUGCGGUUAUGUGCGAAUGUGUACAGCUUUGAAUCUGCUGUUAUUAAGUUGCUGGUGCUGAAAUAACACUUAUUAUUUAUGGUCUAACUGAAAUGGAAACACUGGAAACUUGUUUGAAACUGAAGAAAAAAAUGAAAAAGAAGUUUUUACAAUCAAAACUGCCAUGAAGACUGCUUUACCCAAAAUUUUGGUCCACAGCUUUCAUUGAAUUACUUAUCAGGGCAAACAAAGUUUAGCCAUGUGAACAGGUUCCAAUUUUGUUAGAAAUAAUUUGGAUCCAGCUAUCUUUAUACAAUGGUGAGUUUGUAUUGCACCUCAUGGCUAAAAUUCUGAGGUAAAGGCUUUUGGAUCUUUGUGUCUGUGUGUGUGUGCAUGUGACAAAAACAAGCAAUGGGGAAUCCGGAGUCCCUAUUUAAU